AUCAACGCUGGCGGCGUGCCUCAGACAUGCAAGUCGAACGAUUAAAGCUCUCUUCGGAGAGUGUAUAGAGUGGCGCACGGGUGAGUAACACGUAAGUAAUCUACCCUCGAGUGGGGAAUAACGUCCGGAAACGGACGCUAAUACCGCAUAAUGCAGCGGCACCGCAAGGUGACAGUUGUUAAAGGAGAAAUUCGCUUGAGGAGGAGCUUGCGGCAGAUUAGCUGUUGGUAAGGUAACGGCUUACCAAGGCUACGAUCUGUAACCGGUCUUAGAGGACGGUCGGUCACACUGACACUGAAUAACGGGUCAGACUCCUACGGGAGGCAGCAGUCGGGAAUUUUGGGCAAUGGGCGAAAGCCUGACCCAGCAACGCCGCGUGAAGGAUGAAGUAUUUCGGUAUGUAAACUUCGAAAGAAUAAGGAAGAAUAAAUGACGGUACUAUUUAUAAGGUCCGGCUAACUACGUGCCAGCCGCCGCAGU
This 480-nucleotide ribosomal RNA is filed under the name uncultured bacterium. RNAcentral's name for it is "bacterial SSU rRNA". It matches the Rfam family "Bacterial small subunit ribosomal RNA", at positions 32 to 521 of the family's 1533-position model. The record is from RNAcentral.